UAGAGUACAAAGGAGAUUGCAUUACCAGCAUAGCUUUUUGGUGUCCCUUGUCGGUCGUCUUGCUGGUGGUUUGGCUGUCUUUUGGAAUGACCCUCUCUCUGUUAGUGUGGAGGACUCCUCAGCCCACUAUAUUGACUUGAUCUGCUCUGGUCCCCAUGAUGGAAGCCCAAUGCGCCUCACUUGCAUCCAUGCCCCUACAUCCUUCCAGCAGAGACAUCAGUUAUGGAUAGUUUUUAAGCAUAUCAGUAGAGUUAUUACAAUGCCUUAGGUAUGCAUUCGAGACUUCAAUGAAAUACUAAACCACUGGGAAAAACUAGGUAAACGUUUCGCUCCUUCUUAUCGGUUGCGCUCUUUGAGGGACUUCUUAAACAAUUGCUCACUCAUGGAAGUAUAAUCUAAAGGCUGUGCCUAUACAUGGGUGAACAAUAGGGACGUUGACAAAUUGGUUAAGGAAAAACUUGACAGGGUAUUAUGCAAUAUGGACUGGAGGUUAACAUACCUAGUAGCUAAAGUGUUCGCCCUACCUGCCAUUGGCUUUGACCAUAGUUCGCUGAUUUUAUCGCUUGUGC
Molecule: long non-coding RNA, 569 nt
Filed under: Eucalyptus grandis
Lineage: Eukaryota; Viridiplantae; Streptophyta; Magnoliopsida; Myrtales; Myrtaceae
Description: long non-coding RNA (EGRA_LNC004108)
Source: RNAcentral